AGAACUCAAAAAAAGAGGAGUGUCAUAUAACCUCAUGGCUGUGCCCAGCUUAUAUGUCACAAUCACCCCAGUGGGCAGGGCCCAGGCAUGAGAUCAGAGUCACAACAUGUAGGUGCUGGGCCAAGUGAUAUGUCACAAUGCCCACUGUAGACAGGUUCCAGGAAGAAAAGGAGCAUCACAUCAUCUAGGUGAUAAACCCUGAGAUAUCUCACAAUGACCCCUUUGUGCAGAGAUCACAAAGAAGAAUCAUAUAACCUGUGUGCUGGAUCCAGUGGUAUGAAAGUCAACACCUGUAUUUUGGGUCUAAGUACAUGAGACACAAUGGUGGACAAUCUAUACUGAGAGCCUCAAUUCUUCCUGUAGACAGUGUCUCCUCAGUGGAGUAAAAGCCUCACGGUGUGUUGAAUCUUGGUCUGAGAGUCGCCAACCCACUGGUGGACCGGAUCCACUUACAAGAGUCAAUGUUCAAACUUUCAACUGUCUCCAGCUGUGAGAUUCAGAACCUCAACAGGGAUGCAGGUUAUGAAGAUGAGAGCGUGAGACAGCGAGCUGUAAGGGAAGCAGGUUACCCAGGGAUGGACAGAGGAUGGGCCCUGGCCCUCAUGUUAUGAAGCUUCUCCACGUGGUGCCUUCCUCUGUCAAAUGGGCAGAAGAAUAUCCUUUUGAUAGAAUUAAAAUAUACGAAAACCAUUUAUUCUCCUGUUACAAUGAUUUUUAUUUCCACAGCAACACUUAGUACCUGCCCCCCCCUCCAGCUUGCCCUGCCCACCAACCAGGAGCGGGGCCAGCCUGGAUCUCUUCUCUGCCGCUGGCGUAGGGGCGGGGGCGGGGGACAGUGUCUUCAGCAAAAGUCUGCGGAUAGAAAGGCCCCGCUCCUGUCCGGACAGCAGGAAUGGGAGAGCCGCCUCCAACCCCAGCCCCAUGGAGCAGGGCAGAAACGCUGCCCACUGCCCUGCUCCUGCCACCAGGAAGGGCGUGUGGGGGGCCACUUUCUGUAAAGAAGAAACCGCCUGAACAACAAGUGGCUCAAGGCACCCUUGUCUAACGACCAGGGACACUGAGCGCCAGGGCCCAAGUCACCAGCAAGAGAAAACCCAGGCGGAGCCCAGGGUGUCCCCCACUGCCCACCAGCCACUGCGGUCAACGUGAAGGGCAAGGGUGCAAGCGGGAUCGCGUCACAGGGAGCCGAGUGAGCCCAGAAAGUAGGAGAAGGACGUUUCCACCCACCUGGAGCGCAGUCCGUUUGCAGCCGGCGGCAGAUGGAGUCUCGCUCUGUUGCCCAUGCUGGAGUGCAGUGUCGCGAUCUCAGCCCACUGCAACCUCUUCCUCCCGGGUUCAAGAAAUUCUCCUGCCUCAGUCUCCUGAGUAGCUGGGAUUACAGGCACUCACCAACAGGCCUGGCUAAUUGAAUGCUGCUGUCUCCAUCAAUAAAGUCCAUGUUAGCCACCUAGAGGAUAAAAUACCACGAGGAGGAGUAGCAAGGUGCCCCUGUUGACAGAUCUUGAAGCACAAGCUCACUCCCAGAAGCACAGCUGCCUAGUCAACAAACAGCUGACAAUACAUGUCUGAAGGAGCUCAGCUGGGAACAGAAGAAUGGCCCCACUGAGCCUAGCCUAAAUGGCGGACCAUCUCAAUUAUGAGCUAAUAAGUUUUGGAUGAUUUGUUAUGCUGCCAUACCUAACUAAUACAUGCACCCAGUGCAGAUUGGGUGUCAAGAUUUAAAGACAGUUUGAUUAUUAGUCACCUUCUAACAAUGGGCACCCUAAAGGUACUGACAUUUUUCCCGAUUUAAAGUUAAAUGUCUUGUAAGGCAAUGUUGACUGAUGCAGGAAUACUUGUAGACAUGUAUGCAUGUGAUUGGUGCUUAUAUGCACACAGUCCCCCACACCACAGGAAAAAACCGAUGACCAGAGCCUGACCAUUAUGGCCAAGGCCAAAUAGCCAAAGUUUGCCUUUAAUCUAUUUUCUUCAUAUCUAAAAAUUGGAGGUCAAUACUGUGGACAGGUCUGAAGACAUAGAGUUUUGUUCUCCUGUGGCCCCAUCAUUCUUCAGUGGUCUACCUGUGGUUAUUUUAUUCUUGUUACCUUCUGCUCUUUCUAUGACCACUAUCUGUUCCACCCUUGAAACUGAAGACAGAUGUUAGUAGAAAGAGGCUGUUCCCUCAUGUCGGGCAUGUGGGAUACGAUGAGGUUUCUCUUCAAAUAGCCUGAUCAAUCUUUUAUUCUUUAAUUCAUAGUACCCACACACACACCCCUUUUUUUCCUUUUUCUCCUUUUUCCUUUCUGCCUUUGUUAGAUGCCCAGGCACGCCACAGUACCAGGCAUUAUCAGUACCAGCUCACAUUUCUUCCCUUAUUUGGAAAGAGGACUAACUUUCUAGCUCAAUGCAGACACCCCUUCCCCUUCCUCUCUGCAUUCUUUUGCAUGCCCACCUUAUCUAAAAAAAUCAAAUGUUUAGCCAACCAGGAUUAGUUCAGAUUGUACGACCCGACCCUGGCCAAUGGGGAAAGGGUACAGGGGCAGGACUUGUGUCAGGAAUAAAGGCUCUUGUGCCCCUUUGUUCAGGUGUGCUCUCAUGGUGACUGGACAAGAACGCACCCCUCUGUGCAGAACUAAAAUUGCUUUGCUAGGAAUCCUUUGUUCGAGUGUUCAAUUUCCUUAUGAUUUUGAGCGUUAUUCCUAACAGGAAGAAAAGGGAUAUUCAGGCCUUUCACAGACCUGACAACAGAGCUGCACUUCAAUGUGACAGGUAUUGACCAUGUGUGACUCCUGGGAGCCUGGAAUGUGGCUGGUCUGAGCUGCAAUUUGCAAGAAAGGUAAAAUGCAGAGUUAGUUUCAAAGAUUUAGUUCCAUAAAUAUAAAAAUAUACAACAUAUAGAUAAAAAUAUCUAUAUAUAAUAUGGAUAAAAAUACAUAGCAUAAUGCAAUAUAUAGAUACAUAAUUAUGUUAUAUAUAAAUAUAUAUCUCAUUCAUAAUUAUACAUUGCUCACAUAUUAAAAUAAUAUUUUGGAUAUAUUGCUUUAAUUAAAUUGUUACAACAGA
RNAcentral lists this long non-coding RNA (3042 nucleotides) under Homo sapiens (human). RNAcentral describes it as "HSALNT0396638". Lineage: Eukaryota; Metazoa; Chordata; Mammalia; Primates; Hominidae. The record is from RNAcentral.